Molecule: ribosomal RNA, 254 nt
Filed under: uncultured Caryophanales bacterium
Lineage: Bacteria; Bacillati; Bacillota; Bacilli; Caryophanales
Description: uncultured Bacillales bacterium partial 16S ribosomal RNA
Rfam family: Bacterial small subunit ribosomal RNA
Source: RNAcentral
UACGUAGGGUGGCAAGCGUUGUCCGGAAUUAUUGGGCGUAAAGCGCGCGCAGGUGGUCCUUUAAGUCUGAUGUGAAAGCCCACGGCUCAACCGUGGAGGGUCAUUGGAAACUGGGGGACUUGAGUGCAGAAGAGGAUAGUGGAAUUCCAAGUGUAGCGGUGAAAUGCGUAGAGAUUUGGAGGAACACCAGUGGCGAAGGCGACUGUCUGGUCUGUAACUGACACUGAGGCGCGAAAGCGUGGGGAGCAAACAGG